AGAGCGUGUGUGUGGCCGCCAUUUUCUCGUCUGCCGCCACAGGGACUGCCACGGCGUAUUCGUUAUUGGAUUGUGAAUGUGGCAGUGCAAAGAAUGUCCAUCGCAACUAGCUAGCAGAAUCCAGCAGCAAGAGAGACGCCUACUCCAGAGGAAAAAAAACAUAAACAUCAAUAACAGAAUAAACUUUCACCAAAGGUAUUAAAGUAGCGAGGUAUCGCUGAUUGCCCUGAGAGAUCUGGGGAAUGGUGUGGGAUUGACGUGGCCUCCAUCCUCCAGUGGCGGUUGUGCUACCCUUGACGCCGGCCCGUUUAACAAGGCCUUCACUCAAGCCUGAGCAGGCCAUCAUCACACUCCCCCUACACUCCUACACUCAGGUCAAGGAUGUUUGACACCUCUCCUUCAGCCGGGCACACAGUAAUUCCUGCUGUUCAGUGUGUGACAUUCUGAUUCACAAUGACUUACAAGGACGGCUCUCCCAAAAAAGGAAAUGCUAGCAUCAUGUAUUGUCCCUUCUGUCAUUCUGAGUCCAUCUGAUUUUCUUUCUUCUGUGAAAUGCAAAAGGAGAUAUUUAGUUGAAUGUCCAAGCUGCUCUUUUCCAUUCAGUGAAAAUGGAUGGGGUCUAGAGACACCCUUGUGAAAAAGAAAUACAUACUGUUAAAAAGAG
Cyprinus carpio carpio is the source of this 664-nucleotide long non-coding RNA. The record is from Ensembl. Lineage: Eukaryota; Metazoa; Chordata; Actinopteri; Cypriniformes; Cyprinidae.